GUGGUACUCACUUUGGCAACACAUAUACUAAAAUUGAAAUGACAUAGGGAAGAUUAGCAUGGCCCCUGCACAAGAAUGACAGGAAAAUUUGUGAAGCAUUCCAUAUUUUU
Molecule: small nuclear RNA, 110 nt
Filed under: Marmota monax (woodchuck)
Lineage: Eukaryota; Metazoa; Chordata; Mammalia; Rodentia; Sciuridae
Source: RNAcentral